UAAUAAUAAGACUGGGGAUUUUUUCUUCUCUCAUUCUCUCUCUUGCUCUUCACUAUUUGUUUUUGUUUCUCUCUUUGAUUAUUUGCAUUUGCCAGAAAGCGAUAUUCCACACAAACAACAAUAAUCAUCAACUCAGACUCAGAAAUUCAAUCUUGUUCUUGAAAUCUAGAUCUUCAAUUCAACAUGGUAUCAGAUAUACAGGUUUUCUGUUCUUCUUCAUCCUAUCUUCGCCAACGACAAUCAACUGAUUUGUUCAUUCGCAAAAACCUAAUCACGAUUCUGGUUUAUUCUUUCUUUAUCUUCUGCUUCAUCAAUUGAUUUGUUCAAUUCUGGUUUCGAUUCUGGUUUUUCUGUUCAAUUGAUUGGUUUGUUCGUUCAAUUGGUUCAAUUGAUUUGGUUUCUCAGAAAUUCAAUCUUGUUCUUGAAAUCUAGAUCUUCAAUUCAACAUUAAGUUCAUUGACUUAUCGAUAUUAGUAAUUCCUUUUGGUGUUAUAAAAUUAAUAUUUUAAAUUUUCAACGGUCAGCAAACCUCUCCAAUUUAAAGUAUUUUUAAGAGUUUCACAAAUAUUAGAGCUUUUUUCCUUUUGUAUAUGAUGGACAAUUUCUAUUUGGUCGUUAUAUUGCUUGAUCCAUGUGGAUAAAAUCAAAUCAAUAUAUGUACCAUCUGAAUUAUAAGAUCUUAACACGCAAAAUCCUUUUGACACUUUUACUACAUGUUCAUCCUCACAUCUUUGAAGUUGUCGUACUCUUGAACUUACAUAUGUAGAUUAUUUUAUGUAUAUACUGAAAUUUAAUUCAAGUUUGUGGAUAAAUCUUGUAAUAUUCGAGAUAUUUUUAAAUAAAUUAAAAAUAGGAAAAUAAAUAAUUAACAAUGUAAAAUUUAGAAAAUUUAAACAAAAUACUAAAUUUGUAAAAAAAAUAUUCAUUUAAAACUAAAAAUAAAAAUAAAAAUUAGGUUUAAUAAAAUAAAUAAAUAAAAUAAAAUAAGAUUAAAAAAACCCAAAAAUUUAGGAAUAAUUUUAAUAUAAAAAAAAUUGAAUUUGAAAAACUCAUUUUCAUGGUUACUUAUAAAAAAGUCAAAAUUAAACUUACUUCCCCCACAUUCUAAAAUAACUCCUCAUUUAACUCCAUUAUUCUUUCCACUCUUCCCUUUAAUUCUAACCAACAUUAUUUCUAUAUUAUAAAUUAAGCAAUUUACUCUUUAAAUUAUUUCAUCGUAUUGAUUUUCUUUCUUCUUCUUCUAAUUAUUCUUUUUCUUUCAUCAACCAUUUUUCUUUCUUUACAUCUAUUAUUUUCAAUUUCUUUUUCACCUUGAUAGUAUUUUUUUUAGCCAUUUUCUUUGGACAAAUUACAAACAACAAUUAUACUUUAAAUGUAAAGUUCGUAAAUAAAAGUUGAUAGGAGCGUACAUUUAUAUUUUAGGGCUGUUUUACAAGGUAAUCCUCAAAUCUCAAUGUCAAUCCAAUUAGGAUUAUCCUGUUAAUAUUAUGUGCUAAGUGAUACUUGAGGUGUUUAAAUUGGAAGCGCGAUUUUGUAUGAUAUUAUACUUUUUAUAUUUUAUUUUUAGAUUAUAUUUACUACUUUUGUUAAUAGUUUGAUUUAUAAUAUUAUUUUAUGAAAUUUAUAUUAUUAUUUUAUUUUAAUGACAAAUUUAAAAUAGGGUUGAGUUUGGGAGAAAAAUAUUUAUGAUAUUAAUUCCUAUUGCCACCAAUUGAUAUUAAAAUGCUGAUUUGGAAAAUGAGAUUACAAUUGAAUACUAUUGAGAUAUAUAUUUGUUAGGAAAAUUUAUGAUCCUAAAAUAAAAUAAUAAUGUUUGUUUAAUUAUAUGUUUGUGUGUUCGCGACUAAUUUUUAAAAUAUAUUAAAUCACGUAAAGUAUAACAUGAUGAAAAUAAAACUCUUAUCUGUGUUGUGAUCCAAGUGUAAUGGUGAUGAACAAAUUGCCCUGUUUAAUUAGUAUAGCUGCCGACAGGUAUUAUUAUUUCUACUACUUGAUACAAUGUUUGGUCUUCCUUCUAUUUGUUGUGAUCUAAAUAAAAGGGGUGUGCACACUAGGGUUACCUGAGACUACUCUGCUGGCCUUGAUGAAUUAUAUUAUUAGCUCAACUAUAUAUUAUUUUUUUAAAAUUAUUUUCAGCUUGAUUAUAAUUUCUAUUCUUAAACUAUUCUUUUCAAACUAAAUUGUUUUACGGGAUGGAGUUGGAAUUACUCAAUUUCCUAAUUUUAAGAGUUUUUCCCUUGUUUUUCUUGCAUUCUUAUUUUGCAGGUUAUUAAUCGUAUGGGGUUCGUGGAGUGAGGUUCACCUAAAAAUUAGUUUUUGUUAGUAAUCAUGUCCCAUUUUAAAUGUCACUUCCAGUUGUAAAAAUUAUUUAAAGUUCCCAUAAUUAGGCUUUGGUUUAUGUUUUUCCUUAAAAAUCCUUUUUAAAAUUAGACCUAAUUAUUAGGGUGUUACAAAUCUAAAGUGGGGGAGUACAUAUGUUGAUGGGAGUUUAGAAAAUAAAUAUUAUGAAGUAGAUCUUGAUGAUAGUGCAAGUAGUGAAGAUGUUGAAUUAGAUGAUGAGUUGGAGGAAGAUAUUUUAGUUGAUGAGUUAGAAGAUGUUAAGGGAUUCAAUGAUGAAGAGUUUGUAGCUACAAGAGAUAAGUUAUUUAUACACCCGAUGAAAGAAAUCUGACUCAUUUGCCCGAGCAAGUUGGAGGACGAAACUCAAUUACUCACCUCUUCUUAGAAACUGUAUCUCAACCAACUCAAGCAUCUACCGCAAAUAAUGUUAUUCAUUAGCAUACCAGUUAGUUUUUGUACCUGACACAAUUUUUGGGUUCGUUAUUGAACAGUUACGUUAUGUUUA
Molecule: long non-coding RNA, 2845 nt
Organism: Amaranthus tricolor (Joseph's coat)
Lineage: Eukaryota; Viridiplantae; Streptophyta; Magnoliopsida; Caryophyllales; Amaranthaceae
Exons: 2
Source: RefSeq, a predicted model, not a curated record